This is a long non-coding RNA of Bos taurus (domestic cattle), 490 nucleotides long. The record is from Ensembl. Lineage: Eukaryota; Metazoa; Chordata; Mammalia; Artiodactyla; Bovidae.
GCACCGGCGAGAGGAGGAGCCUCGGCGGCGGAGCUCCGCUUCCUCUCCGCCGCAAUCUCGGCCCGGCUUGGCCGGCGCUCGCCCUAAGGGAAUUGCAAUUCGAGCUUUGAUGGACGAUCACUGCUUCCACAUGGUGCUUCUGGGAAUCACCUAAGUCAUACUUCAGUUCCUGAAUCUCACUCAUUUGGAGGAUCCAGUUUAAUAUUGAUACCUGUCAUUCCUGGUGUGGUGUGCAGCAGGCAGAGGGAUGCUGCAGCAUAAUGAACGCUCAUGAUACCUGCUCACUUCUGCUCCCACCAUUUGAGUUAUGGACCUCAGCGAAUCCACCAUAUUUGUUCCCAAAUCUGACUAUAGCUGCUGUAACUGUCCUUAUAGAAUUUAAUUAAGUCCUAUUAAACAUGACUAUGUAAGUGCAAAACAAAAAGUUAUUCCGAUGAAAAUUAAGUUAAAUGCCUUGAAAGAAUGAGUGAAAGCGAGACACUGAAAAGAG